UAGGGGGGGAUUGGCCAUGGGCGAAGCCUGAUGCAGCGACGCCGCGUGCGGGAUGACGGCCUUCGGGUUGUAAACCGCUUUCAGCAGGGAAGAAGCGAAAGUGACGGUACCUGCAGAAGAAGCGCCGGCUAACUACGUGCCAGCAGCCGCGGUAAUACGUAGGGCGCGAGCGUUAUCCGGAAUUAUUGGGCGUAAAGAGCUCGUAGGCGGUUUGUCACGUCUGCUGUGAAAGCCCGAGGCUCAACCUCGGGUGUGCAGUGGGUACGGGCAGACUAGAGUGCAGUAGGGGAGACUGGAAUUCCUGGUGUAGCGGUGAAAUGCGCAGAUAUCAGGAGGAACACCGAUGGCGAAGGCAGGUCUCUGGGCUGUUACUGACGCUGAGGAGCGAAAGCAUGGGGAGCGAACAGGAUUAGAUACCCUGGUAGUCCAUGCCGUAAACGUUGGGCACUAGGUGUGGGGGACAUUCCACGUUUUCCGCGCCGUAGCUAACGCAUUAAGUGCCCCGCCUGGGGAGUACGGCCGCAAGGCUAAAACUCAAAGGAAUUGACGGGGGCCCGCACAAGCGGCGGAGCAUGCGGAUUAAUUCGAUGCAACGCGAAGAACCUUACCAAGGCUUGACAUGGACCGGAUCGCUGCAGAGAUGCAGUUUCCCUUCGGGGUCGGUUCACAGGUGGUGCAUGGUUGUCGUCAGCUCGUGUCGUGAGAUGUUGGGUUAAGUCCCGCAACGAGCGCAACCCCUAUCCUAUGUUGCCAGCACGUGAUGGUGGGGACUCAUGGGAGACUGCCGGGGUCAACUCGGAGGAAGGUGGGGACGACGUCAAAUCAUCAUGCCCCUUAUGUCUUGCGCUUCACGCAUGCUACAAUGGCCGGUACAAUGGGUUGCGAUACUGUGAGGUGGAGCUAAUCCCUAAAAGCCGGUCUCAGUUCGGAUCGAAGUCUGCAACUCGACUUCGUGAAGUUGGAGUCGCUAGUAAU
Molecule: ribosomal RNA, 975 nt
Filed under: Nesterenkonia sp. DHHS3
Lineage: Bacteria; Bacillati; Actinomycetota; Actinomycetes; Micrococcales; Micrococcaceae
Description: bacterial SSU rRNA
Rfam family: Bacterial small subunit ribosomal RNA
Source: RNAcentral